CAGUAGCCGCGGGAAUACGGAGGGGGCUAGCGUUGUUCGGAAUUACUGGGCGUAAAGCGCACGUAGGCGGCUUGGUAAGUUAGAGGUGAAAGCCCGGAGCUCAACUCCGGAAUUGCCUUUAAGACUGCCGAGCUAGCAGGUGAGAGAGGUAAGUGGAAUUCCGAGUGUAGAGGUGAAAUUCGUAGAUAUUCGGAAGAACACCAGUGGCGAAGGCGGCUUACUGGCUCAUACUGGACGCUGAGGUGCGAAAGCGUGGGGAGCAAACAGGAUUAGAUACCCGUGUAGUCCCUGUCUCUUAUAC
This 301-nucleotide ribosomal RNA is filed under the name uncultured bacterium. RNAcentral's name for it is "partial 16S ribosomal RNA". It matches the Rfam family "Bacterial small subunit ribosomal RNA", at positions 509 to 807 of the family's 1533-position model. The record is from RNAcentral.